AAGCGCGAUAGGUAGUGUGAAUUGCAGAAUUCCGUGAAUCAUCGAAUUUUUGAACGCACAUUGCGCUCAAGCCUUCGGGCUUGAGCAUGUCUGCCUCAGCGUCGUUUUCAAAUGGCUUGCCGUCCGUGACCCUUGCCGCUCCCUUCGAGGGAGGGCAUGGGUUUAAGCCGUGACCUCCGGCACGUCCGUCCAUCCGUGGGCGGCGUGCGGCAGCAGCCACUCCGGCACUGCUCAUCGUAAGCAUGCUGCAUACCGUGGCAUCAUAUGCUCUACCAUGGGCCCUGCUGGUUAGUUGAUGGCGCGCGGCUUGCUCGAUGUGCUGCUGCUGCUGCUGUUGCUUCAUCAUCAGCAGCGCGCACAAGCAGGCUCAGCCGCCUCAGCUGGACACCUGGCUGCGCAACACACCAUUCGACCUGAGUUUAGGCAGGGUUACCCGCUGAACUUAAGC
RNAcentral lists this unclassified non-coding RNA (448 nucleotides) under plant metagenome. RNAcentral describes it as "partial contains 5.8S ribosomal RNA, internal transcribed spacer 2, and large subunit ribosomal RNA". The stretch from base 1 to 104 matches the Rfam family "5.8S ribosomal RNA", at positions 51 to 154 of the family's 154-position model. The record is from RNAcentral.